This 1021-nucleotide long non-coding RNA is filed under the name Triticum aestivum (bread wheat). RNAcentral's name for it is "long non-coding RNA (TAES_LNC001417)". The record is from RNAcentral. Lineage: Eukaryota; Viridiplantae; Streptophyta; Magnoliopsida; Poales; Poaceae.
CUCUUCAUUUUUUCCUUAGACGACAGACUAUGUCCUGACUACAACCUGGUUUUCUCGGUGUUAUGUUAUGAUCCAAAUUCAAGUAUAAAGAUAAAGGCUAACUUCUGAUGAGUGGAGCGGAGAAAUUUGUUUGCAAGUUAAAGAGGUCACUAUAUGAUUUGAAACGGUCUGUAUAAAAGGUUUGAUUCAUUUAUGAUAGCACAUGGAUUUAAGAGGUCUGCAUAUGAUAGUUGUGUUUACAUUAAAUUUGUUGAUGGAUCACCUAUAUACUUGCUGUUAUAUGUUGAUGAUAUGUUAAUUGCUGCCAAGGGCAAGAAAGAGAUCACUGCUUUAAAGGCACAGUUAAGUAGUGAGUUUGAGAUGAAGGAUCUUGGUGCUGCUAAGAAAAUUCUAGGUAUGGAGAUUACCAGGGACAGAAAUUCUGGUUUGUUAUUUCUUAGUCAGCAGAGUUACAUUAAGAAAGUUCUUCAUCGUUUUAACAUGCAUGAUGCUAAGCCAGUAAGUGCAUCCAUUGCUCCUCAUUUCAAAUUAUCAUCUUCUCAAUGUCCUAGUACGGAUGAAGAUUUUGAGUAUAUGUCAAGAGUUCCAUAUUCUAGUGUUGUCGGUUCUUUAAUGUAUGUCAUGGUGUGUUCUCAGCCUGAUUUAUCAUUUGCAAUGAGUCUGGUUAGUAGAUUCAUGGCUAACCCUGGUAAAGAACAACGGAAGGUUGUCCAGAAUUUCCAGGUACCUUCGUGGCACUUCCAAUGCUUGUUUGAAAUUCGGCAGGACUGGUGAUGAAGCAGCACAAGGUUGUGGAGGAGCAACUCCACCUUGCUGCUACAAUGUGUACAGCACAAGUGUUGAAGGAACAGCUUCAACGUGCUGCGCUAGAUAUCGCUCUAGAGGCGAAUGUAGGCUGAUAGGGCAGCAAGAGUUCAAUCCAGAACUCCUAGGGCACAAGAUCUACUCCAAGAUCUUAGAUAAGAACAACAAAUUCUAUUAUAGGUAGGGGUACAUAGUCUGGGUGCAAAGUAGAGGUGAG